This 468-nucleotide ribosomal RNA is filed under the name uncultured bacterium. RNAcentral describes it as "partial 16S ribosomal RNA". It matches the Rfam family "Bacterial small subunit ribosomal RNA", at positions 28 to 507 of the family's 1533-position model. The record is from RNAcentral.
GACGAACGCUGGCGGCGUGCUUAACACAUGCAAGUCGAACGGAAAGGCCCUGCUUUUGUGGGGUGCUCGAGUGGCGAACGGGUGAGUAACACGUGAGUAACCUGCCCUUGACUUUGGGAUAACUUCAGGAAACUGGGGCUAAUACCGGAUAGGAGCUCCUGCUGCAUGGUGGGGGUUGGAAAGUUUCGGCGGUUGGGGAUGGACUCGCGGCUUAUCAGCUUGUUGGUGGGGUAGUGGCUUACCAAGGCUUUGACGGGUAGCCGGCCUGAGAGGGUGACCGGCCACGUGGGGACUGCGCUCCGGCCCGGCCCCCUCGGGGGGGCGGCGGGGGGGAAUAUGGCACUGGGGGGGGAGGCCUGACGCCGCACCGCCGCGGGGGGGAGGAGGCCCUUCGGUUUGAAACCCGUUUCCCCUUGGGAGGAAGGGGGGGGGGGGUUAGGGGGUAAGAAGCCCCCGCCUAACUACGUC